Molecule: ribosomal RNA, 2893 nt
Filed under: Acinetobacter baumannii
Lineage: Bacteria; Pseudomonadati; Pseudomonadota; Gammaproteobacteria; Moraxellales; Moraxellaceae
Description: 23S ribosomal RNA
Rfam family: Bacterial large subunit ribosomal RNA
Source: RNAcentral
AGUCAAGUAAUUAAGUGCAUGUGGUGGAUGCCUUGGCAGUCAGAGGCGAUGAAAGACGUGAUAGCCUGCGAAAAGCUCCGGGGAGGCGGCAAAUAUCCUUUGAUCCGGAGAUGUCUGAAUGGGGGAACCCACCUACUUUAAGGUAGGUAUUGCAACAUGAAUACAUAGUGUUGCAAGGCGAACGAGGGGAAGUGAAACAUCUCAGUACCCUUAGGAAAAGAAAUCAAUUGAGAUUCCCUCAGUAGCGGCGAGCGAACGGGGAUCAGCCCAUUAAGUUAUGUGUGUUUUAGUGGAACGCUCUGGGAAGUGCGAACGUAGAGGGUGAUAUUCCCGUACACGAAAGGGCACACAUAAUGAUGACGAGUAGGGCGAGGCACGUGAAACCUUGUCUGAAUAUGGGGGGACCAUCCUCCAAGGCUAAAUACUCCUGACUGACCGAUAGUGAACCAGUACCGUGAGGGAAAGGCGAAAAGAACCCCUGUGAGGGGAGUGAAAUAGAUCCUGAAACCGCAUGCAUACAAGCAGUGGGAGCACCUUCGUGGUGUGACUGCGUACCUUUUGUAUAAUGGGUCAGCGACUUAUAUUCAGUAGCGAGGUUAACCGUAUAGGGGAGCCGUAGAGAAAUCGAGUCUUAAUAGGGCGUUUAGUUGCUGGGUAUAGACCCGAAACCAGGCGAUCUAUCCAUGAGCAGGUUGAAGGUUGGGUAACACUAACUGGAGGACCGAACCCACUGUCGUUGAAAAGCCAGGGGAUGACUUGUGGAUAGGGGUGAAAGGCUAAUCAAGCCUGGUGAUAGCUGGUUCUCCCCGAAAGCUAUUUAGGUAGCGCCUCGGACGAAUACCAUAGGGGGUAGAGCACUGUUUCGGCUAGGGGGUCAUCCCGACUUACCAAACCGAUGCAAACUCCGAAUACCUAUGAGUACUAUCCGGGAGACAGACUGCGGGUGCUAACGUCCGUAGUCAAGAGGAAAACAAUCCAGACCGCCAGCUAAGGCCCCAAAAUCAUAGUUAAGUGGGAAACGAUGUGGGAAGGCAUAGACAGCUAGGAGGUUGGCUUAGAAGCAGCCACCCUUUAAAGAAAGCGUAAUAGCUCACUAGUCGAGUCGGCCUGCGCGGAAGAUGUAACGGGGCUAAAACUAUGUGCCGAAGCUGCGGAUGUAUACUUUGUAUACGUGGUAGGGGAGCGUUCUGUAAGCCGAUGAAGGUGUGUUGAGAAGCAUGCUGGAGGUAUCAGAAGUGCGAAUGCUGACGUGAGUAACGACAAAACGGGUGAAAAACCCGUUCGCCGAAAGACCAAGGGUUCCAGUCCAACGUUAAUCGGGGCUGGGUGAGUCGACCCCUAAGGCGAGGCCGAAAGGCGUAGUCGAUGGGAAAAUGGUUAAUAUUCCAUUACUUCUGUGUAAUGCGAUGAGAGGACGGAGAAGGCUAAAUCAGCCUGGCGUUGGUUGUCCAGGUGAAAGGAUGUAGGCAUGUAUCUUAGGCAAAUCCGGGGUACUCUAUGUUGAGAUCUGAUAGCAAGCUGUACUUGUACAGCGAAGUGGUUGAUGCCAUGCUUCCAGGAAAAGUCUCUAAGCUUCAGUUACACAGGAAUCGUACCCGAAACCGACACAGGUGGUCAGGUCGAGUAGACCAAGGCGCUUGAGAGAACUCUGCUGAAGGAACUAGGCAAAAUGGUACCGUAACUUCGGGAGAAGGUACGCUGUUGUUGGUGAUGGAACUUGCUUCCUGAGCUGACGACAGCCGCAGAAACCAGGCCGCUGCAACUGUUUAUUAAAAACAUAGCACUCUGCAAACACGAAAGUGGACGUAUAGGGUGUGAUGCCUGCCCGGUGCUGGAAGGUUAAUUGAUGGGGUUAGCGUAAGCGAAGCUCUUGAUCGAAGCCCCAGUAAACGGCGGCCGUAACUAUAACGGUCCUAAGGUAGCGAAAUUCCUUGUCGGGUAAGUUCCGACCUGCACGAAUGGCAUAAUGAUGGCGGCGCUGUCUCCAGCAGAGGCUCAGUGAAAUCGAAAUCGCUGUGAAGAUGCAGUGUACCCGCGGCUAGACGGAAAGACCCCGUGAACCUUUACUGCAGCUUGACACUGAACUUUGACCUUACUUGUGUAGGAUAGGUGGGAGGCUUUGAAGCUGGAACGCUAGUUCCAGUGGAGCCGUCCUUGAAAUACCACCCUGGUAAUGUUGAGGUUCUAACUCUGUCCCGUGAUCCGGGACGAGGACCGUGUCUGGUGGGUAGUUUGACUGGGGCGGUCUCCUCCUAAAGAGUAACGGAGGAGUACGAAGGUGCGCUCAGCGUGGUCGGAAAUCACGCGUAGAGUAUAAAGGCAAAAGCGCGCUUAACUGCGAGACCCACAAGUCGAGCAGGUACGAAAGUAGGUCUUAGUGAUCCGGUGGUUCUGUAUGGAAGGGCCAUCGCUCAACGGAUAAAAGGUACUCUGGGGAUAACAGGCUGAUACCGCCCAAGAGUUCAUAUCGACGGCGGUGUUUGGCACCUCGAUGUCGGCUCAUCUCAUCCUGGGGCUGAAGCAGGUCCCAAGGGUAUGGCUGUUCGCCAUUUAAAGAGGUACGCGAGCUGGGUUUAGAACGUCGUGAGACAGUUCGGUCCCUAUCUACCGUGGGCGCUGGAAAUUUGAGAGGAUCUGCUCCUAGUACGAGAGGACCAGAGUGGACGAACCUCUGGUGUACCGGUUGUGACGCCAGUCGCAUCGCCGGGUAGCUAUGUUCGGAAGGGAUAACCGCUGAAAGCAUCUAAGCGGGAAGCCUACCUCAAGAUAAGAUUUCCCUAGGACUUUAUGUCCUCUAAAGAGCCGUUCGAGACUAGGACGUUGAUAGGUUGGAUGUGGAAGCAUAGUGAUAUGUGAAGCUGACCAAUACUAAUUGCUCGUGAGGCUUGACUAU